RNAcentral lists this ribosomal RNA (253 nucleotides) under uncultured bacterium. Its description in RNAcentral is "partial 16S ribosomal RNA". It matches the Rfam family "Bacterial small subunit ribosomal RNA", at positions 524 to 776 of the family's 1533-position model. The record is from RNAcentral.
UACGGAGGGUGCAAGCGUUAAUCGGAAUUACUGGGCGUAAAGCGCACGCAGGCGGUUUGAUAAGUUAGAUGUGAAAGGCCCGGGCUCAACCUGGGAAUUGCAUUUAAAACUGGCCAGCUAGAGUCUGAUAGGGGGGGGUAGAAUUCCAGGUGUAGCGGUGAAAUGCGUAGAGAUCUGGAGGAAUACCGGUGGCGAAGGCGGCCCUCUGGACAAAGACUGACGCUGAGGUGCGAAAGCGUGGGGAGCAAACAGG